CACUCACUGUAGUGUACAUCACUUUGGAUAAAAGAGUCUGCUAAAUGGCAUUUU
Non-coding RNA from Salmo salar (Atlantic salmon), 54 nucleotides. Lineage: Eukaryota; Metazoa; Chordata; Actinopteri; Salmoniformes; Salmonidae. The record is from Rfam.